UUGUUGUGUAAGUGGAAAAUUGGAAAACGCAUGACCAGUAUCUGUUGCGAAGGUGAAAGUGCAUUGUUCAAAUCUCCUCCAACCUUCAAAUAAGAUUAGCAGUGUGAGAGGUUAAUCCACCUCUCUAUACGUUAUCUAUCAAUGCCAAGCAUUGUCUGGGAUUGGUGCAAAAGAGAGGUAUAUAAGACGGGAAGAACAUUCAGUAUUUGCAGGCAUUGUCGCAAAACUCCGGAAGGACGAUUGCAGCAAAACUGACAACAUGGACACAAAACCUCAAAAGAAUGCAUGCUCUGAAAAAGACGUUCAUAAUAUCUCAGCCAUGGAUUUAAGAAAAAAUAAAGAAGGACACGUGAAAAUUGAGCUUGACACGCCACCAGAAUCAAAGAAAUGGAGAGAUAUGAAUGGAAAAGAGAGGGCAAUGAGGCUAUUUUUGAUUUGCGGGAAAACCGUGGCUUUGCUCGCGCUUCUGUACCUUUUUGUGUGCUCACUGGAUCUCCUUUCUAUGGCUUUGCAACUAGUGGGUGGAAAAGCUACAGGUGAAAUUUUCAGCAACCCUUUGAUGUCGAAUCCGAUGGUUGGCCUGAUGAUUGGCAUUUUGGUCACGGUGGCCGUUCAGAGUUCGUCGACUUCAACGUCUAUUGUCGUCAGUCUGGUCGCGGCAGGAUAUUUUCCCUCUGUGAAGACUGCCAUUCCCAUUAUCAUGGGCGCAAACGUGGGCACAUCUAUCACCAACACCCUGGUGGCCAUCACCAGGAUCAAUAACCGGGCCGAGUUUGGGCUUGCUUUUGCUGGAGCGACGGUGCACGAUAUGUUCAACUGGCUCACGGUUGUCGUCCUUCUCAUAAUUGAAGUGUCUACAGGCUACUUAUUUUAUCUCACGGAAGCAAUCGUGGCCACCUUGGAUUACAAUGAAGGAGCCGAAGACAUAAAAUUAAUAAAAGUCAUCACCGAGCCCUUGACAAAAGCCAUCAUGGAAAUCGACAAGAAUGUGCUCAAUGGUUGGGCUAUGCAAGAUCCUGAUUAUGAUAAUAAAACCCUUUUGAAAGUUUGGUGUGGUGAAGAAAAAUGCGAAUCUCUAUUUGCCUUGUUUGACAUUGGCGACACCGCAACCGGAGCAAUCAUGACUGUCGUUUCUCUAUUACUGCUGUGUGGAUGCUUGAUUCUGAUGGUUAAGUUGCUGCAAAAUGUUUUACAAGGAACCGUGGCUAAGCUAAUUCAGAAGACAAUCAACGCAAACAUCCCAUACGUGCCCUGGCUGACCGGUUACAUUGCCAUCUUGGUCGGUGCUGGAGCCACUUUCGUCCUGCAAUCGAGCUCAGUGUUCACGUCCGCCCUGACCCCAUUGGUCGGCAUGCAGAUCAUUUCCGUGAACCGGAUGUACCCCUUGUGCCUGGGGUCCAACAUUGGCACGACGACGACGGCCCUGAUCGCCGCUCUCACGGCCAGCGCGUCCAAGAUUAAGCUGACGGUGCAGAUCGCGCUGUGCCACUUGUUCUUCAACCUGACUGGCAUCCUCAUUUUCUACCCGAUCCCCUUCAUGCGGUGGCCCCUGCCCAUGUGCAAGAAGCUGGGCCAGACGACCGCCCGCUUCCGCUGGUUUGCCUUCUUCUACUUGCUCAUGUCCUUCUUCGUCAUCCCAGGCAUCGUUCUCGGCCUCUCGCUCGCCGACGAAAACGGCUACGUCCUCAUGGGCGUCGGCAUUCCCAUCCUGUUAAUCCUCGCGCUCGUUGUCAUCAUCAACCUGCUGCAGAAUCGCUUCCCGAAAGCUCUGCCGCCUUUCCUGCGGACUUGGGACUGGCUGCCGCUCUGGAUGCGCAGCAUCGAGCCCGCUGACAGGCUGAUCUCCAAACUUUGCGGAUGUUGCGUCAAAGAUAUGACGGAGGAUGAGAAGGAGGAAAUUGCCAAAAACGAGGAGCUCAACGAAGCCAAGGGCAUUGAAAAUAUAGUGGCACCUGACUAGUGGAAUUAAUGUGAACGAACUUAAGUGCUGCGUUACAAGAACUUAUCGGCAGAGUGUCUGUUUUGCGGCCACUACCAACAACAAGAAGCGCACGGAACUCAAGUUUAAACUGUAAAUUUGUAACACUGCUACGGAUCUCUGCAUCAGUCCUCUCUGUUAUAGGGAGCAGAAAUGUCGCGGACGUCAAUUUUGUGUUUCGCAGUUGCCCUAAUUGCACAGGGCACCUUUGCAUUGCAAAAUGGGCAACGCAUAAUCAAUGGCGGAAACGCAACGGUUGGCCAAUUCAGUUUCCAAGCCUUUCUCCAGAUGAGGUACAGCAAAGUUUGUGUCGGAUCCCUCAUUUCCGACAGCGUGAUUCUCAUCACUGCUGACUGUCUUUUCAAAGACUUGAGCAGUUUCAACAUUACCAUUGGGGCCGUUGAUUACAACAAUUACCAAGCAGAACAUGUUGAAUUCGUUGACUUGUAUGGAUAUAGCUACGUUUUUCAUGAAGAUUACGACAGCGUAUCUGGCGCGAAUGACAUAGCUGCCUUGAUUUUGAAAACCCCAAUUAAAAAUCCAAAAAUCAAGCCGAUACGCUUGCCAUCCAAAUCCCAAAUCAACGAUUUCCUAAAUCGCACUGAAAUCACAAUCCUAGGCUGGGGAGGAGAAACUGGUCGUACUGAACCGAAUCUCCAACAUGCGGACACCUUCACUUUAAAUUUCCUCGACUGCCAGUUUUUGCAUGGCUCAUUACACGUGACUGACGAAAACCUGUGCUUAGACAACACGGUUCCAGGAUCACCGACGGCGUGCUACGAUGGUGACAAUGGCAGCCCAAUGAUUACCAAGGAAAAAGAUGGACAGUAUACCCUGAUCGGUUUCAUGAUCAAAUGGUUUGUGGGUUCUGAGGAGGUUGGUGUUUGUAACUCUCACAUCCCUGUAAUUUACAUGCGCGUGGCCGCUUACCUAGAUUGGUUAGCGGCAAAUACCGGAAUUGAGAUAAGGCCAUGAACAAGUUAUAGUGUAUUAAGUUUGCAACUAAUAAACUGCACGUUGUUUGAUGUGAAAAAUAUUUUUAUCAAUACCUUAUUGUAUCCAAUUCUUAUUUGUUAAAUUAUGUGAUAAGAUGAAUUAUAUUUUGAGGUGUUCA
Cloeon dipterum is the source of this 3092-nucleotide RNA transcript. It is a transcript of the gene named sodium-dependent phosphate transport protein 2B-like, with no coding region annotated. Lineage: Eukaryota; Metazoa; Arthropoda; Insecta; Ephemeroptera; Baetidae. The transcript is spliced from 15 exons. The record is from RefSeq and is a predicted model, not a curated record.